Molecule: ribosomal RNA, 462 nt
Filed under: Vreelandella stevensii
Lineage: Bacteria; Pseudomonadati; Pseudomonadota; Gammaproteobacteria; Oceanospirillales; Halomonadaceae
Description: partial 16S ribosomal RNA
Rfam family: Bacterial small subunit ribosomal RNA
Source: RNAcentral
CCUACGGGAGGCAGCAGUGGGGAAUAUUGGACAAUGGGCGAAAGCCUGAUCCAGCCAUGCCGCGUGUGUGAAGAAGGCCUUCGGGUUGUAAAGCACUUUCAGUGGGGAAGAAAGCCUUGGGGCUAAUACCCUCGAGGAAGGACAUCACCCACAGAAGAAGCACCGGCUAACUCCGUGCCAGCAGCCGCGGUAAUACGGAGGGUGCGAGCGUUAAUCGGAAUUACUGGGCGUAAAGCGCGCGUAGGCGGUCUGAUAAGCCGGUUGUGAAAGCCCCGGGCUCAACCUGGGAACGGCAUCCGGAACUGUCAGGCUAGAGUGCAGGAGAGGAAGGUAGAAUUCCCGGUGUAGCGGUGAAAUGCGUAGAGAUCGGGAGGAAUACCAGUGGCGAAGGCGGCCUUCUGGACUGACACUGACGCUGAGGUGCGAAAGCGUGGGUAGCAAACAGGAUUAGAUACCCGAGUC